Molecule: ribosomal RNA, 484 nt
Filed under: uncultured bacterium
Lineage: Bacteria
Description: partial 16S ribosomal RNA
Rfam family: Bacterial small subunit ribosomal RNA
Source: RNAcentral
AUUGAACGCUGGCGGCAGGCCUAACACAUGCAAGUCGAGCGGAUGAAGGGAGCUUGCUCCUGUAUUCAGCGGCGGACGGGUGAGUAAUGCCUAGGAAUCUGCCUGGUAGUGGGGGAUAACGUCCGGAAACGGGCGCUAAUACCGCAUACGUCCUGAGGGAGAAAGUGGGGGAUCUUCGGACCUCACGCUAUCAGAUGAGCCUAGGUCGGAUUAGCUAGUUGGUGGGGUAAAGGCCUACCAAGGCGACGAUCCGUAACUGGUCUGAGAGGAUGAUCAGUCACACUGGAACUGAGACACGGUCCAGACUCCUACGGGAGGCAGCAGUGGGGAAUAUUGGACGAUGGGCGAAAGCCUGAUCCAGCCAUGCCGCGUGUGUGAAGAAGGUCUUCGGAUUGUAAAGCACUUUAAGUUGGGAGGAAGGGCAGUAAGUUAAUACCUUGCUGUUUUGACGUUACCAACAGAAUAAGCACCGGCUAACUUCGUG